Molecule: unclassified non-coding RNA, 300 nt
Filed under: Rhizophagus sp. (in: glomeromycetes)
Lineage: Eukaryota; Fungi; Glomeromycota; Glomeromycetes; Glomerales; Glomeraceae
Description: partial contains 5.8S ribosomal RNA, internal transcribed spacer 2, and large subunit ribosomal RNA
Rfam family: 5.8S ribosomal RNA (bases 1-65)
Source: RNAcentral
GUGAAUCAUCAAAUCUUUGAACGCACAUUGCACUCUCUUCGGAUAGUAUGCCUGUUUGAGGGCCAGUAUUAAUAAAAACCGGUGUGUCGCUUCUUUGUGGCGCCCCGGAGUUUGGGUCAUCUUCAUAUUCUUUAGGUUUUAAGAGGCUUAUACUUGACUUUUUUUGUGCAUUAUAGAUGUACAUAAAUUCUUUUUUUUAUUCGUCUGUCUUAAUGCCCAAAAUCCUAUUAGAUGCGACCAUAUCGUGUGGUUUCGUGUCUAUAAAUUUUUCAUGAUUUGACCUCAAAUCAGGUAGGAGUA